GCGAAUUGGUUUCGUGGAGUACGCACAAAGGGGUCGAAAUUCGUGGUAUACCGUGAAAUUCUUAGAUAUCACGGAGAACUCCGAUUUCGAAGUCAGCUUACUGGAGCGCAACUGACGCUGAAGCUCGAAAGUGCGGGUAACGAACAGGAUUAGAUACCCUGGUAGUCCGCACGGUAAAACGAUGGAUGCCCGCUGUUGGUCCUGAAUAGGUCAGCGGCCAAGCGAAAGCAUUAAGCAUCCCACCUGGGGAGUACGCCGGCAACGGUGAAAUUUAAAGGAAUUUACGGGGGCCGUACAAGCGGAGGAACAUGUGGUUUAAUUCGAUGAUACGCGAGGAACCUUACCCGGGCUUGAAUUGCAGAGGAAGGAUUUGGAUACAAUGACCGCUUCGGGGCCUCUGUGAAGGUGCUGCAUGGUUGUCGUCAGUUCGUGCCGUGAGGUGUCGGCUUAAGUGCCAUUACGAGUGCAACCCCUCUCCGUAGUUGCCAUCAGGUUAAGCUGGGCACUCUGGGGAUACUGCCACCGUAAGGUGUGAGGAAGGUGGGGAUGACGUCAAAUCAGCACGGCCCUUACGUCCGGGGCUACACACGUGUUACAAUGGCAGGUACAGAGAGAUGGUGUUCUGCAAAGCGCAUUAAAUCCUUAAAGCCUGUCUCAGUUCGGACUGGGGUCUGCAACCCGACCCCACGAAGCUGGAUUCGCUAGUAAUCGCGCAUCAGCCAUGGCGCGGUGAAUACGUUCCCGGGCCUUGUACACACCGC
RNAcentral lists this ribosomal RNA (761 nucleotides) under uncultured bacterium. RNAcentral describes it as "bacterial SSU rRNA". It matches the Rfam family "Bacterial small subunit ribosomal RNA", at positions 628 to 1393 of the family's 1533-position model. The record is from RNAcentral.